GAAGACCCUGUUGAGCUUGACUCUAGUCUGACUCUGUGAAGACAAAUUAGAGCUGUAUCAUAAGUGGGAGGCCGUGAACCCUCGUGUUGUGUCGUGCCAACACUGAAAUACCACUAGUUUCAUCGUUUCUUUACUUACUCGGUGAAGCGGAAAGCGGACAAUGAGUUGUCCAUGCUUCUAGCACUUAAGGGUAAAGACCCUUCGUUGGCCCGCCACGAUCUGUUUCUGAGGACAGUGUCAGGUGGGAAGUUUGACUGGGGCGGUAACAUCUGUCAAAUGGUAACGUAGGUGGUCCUAAGGCGAGCUCCAGCGCGGACAAGAACCUCCGCGUAGAGCAAAAGGGGCAAAUGCUUGCUUGAUAGUGAAUCUUCAGUACGGAUAACAGACCGGGAAAGUGGGGCCCCCUCGAUCCUUUUGACUGUGAGAGGUUUUAAGCAAGCGGUGUCAGAAAAGUUACCCACACGGGAUAACUGGCUUGUGGCGGGCCAAGCGUUCAGAGUGACGUCGCUUUUUGAUCCUUCGAUGUUGCUCUUCGUAUCAUUGCGAAGGAGAAAUCGCCAAGCGUUGGAUUGUUCACCCACUAAUAGGGAACGUGAGCUGGGUUUAGACCGUCGUGAGACAGCCCAGGU
This 629-nucleotide ribosomal RNA is filed under the name Ixodes scapularis (black-legged tick). RNAcentral describes it as "eukaryotic large subunit ribosomal RNA". It matches the Rfam family "Eukaryotic large subunit ribosomal RNA", at positions 2406 to 2988 of the family's 3401-position model. Lineage: Eukaryota; Metazoa; Arthropoda; Arachnida; Ixodida; Ixodidae. The record is from RNAcentral.